UGUUAAAAUUCUAUCUAUUUGUAUUGUUAAAAACUGACAUAAUUGAUAGAAUAACCAAACAGUUAUACAUGAUGUGUCACAUAUAUCUCUUGUUGACGAAUAGAGACUAACUUUUAACCUUAAAAAUAAAUAAUUUUUUUAACA
This is a non-coding RNA of Gossypium hirsutum (cotton), 144 nucleotides long. The record is from Rfam. NCBI's taxonomy places the organism in Eukaryota, Viridiplantae, Streptophyta, Magnoliopsida, Malvales, Malvaceae.